Molecule: ribosomal RNA, 498 nt
Filed under: uncultured bacterium
Lineage: Bacteria
Description: partial 16S ribosomal RNA
Rfam family: Bacterial small subunit ribosomal RNA
Source: RNAcentral
GACGAACGCUGGCGGCAUGCCUAAUACAUGCAAGUUGAACGAUGAUAUUCUCUGCUUGCAGAGAAUUGAAGAGUAGCGAACGGGUGAGUAACACGUGGGGAACCUGCCCAUGAGAGGGGGAUAACAUUCGGAAACGGAUGCUAAUACCGCAUAAUGCUUUGGACCGCCUGGUCCAGAGACGAAAGACGGCUUUUGCUGUCACUCAUGGAUGGCCCCGCGCCGUAUUAGCUAGUUGGUGAGGUAAGGGCUCACCAAAGCUGUGAUACGUAGCCGACCUGAGAGGGUGAUCGGCCACACUGGGACUGAGACACGGCCCAGACUCCUACGGGAGGCAGCAGUAGGGAAUCUUCCACAAUGGGCGAAAGCCUGAUGGAGCAAUGCCGCGUGAAUGAAGAAGGUCUUCGGAUCGUAAAGUUCUGUUAUUAGAGAAGAACAAGUCAAGGAGUAACUGUCUUGACUUUGACGGUACCUAACCAGAAAGUCACGGCUAACUACGUG